GACGAACGCUGGCGGCGUGCUUAACACAUGCAAGUCGAACGGAAAGGCCCUGCUUUUGUGGGGUGCUCGAGUGGCGAACGGGUGAGUAACACGUGAGUAACCUGCCCUUGACUUUGGGAUAACUUCAGGAAACUGGGGCUAAUACCGGAUAGGAGCUCCUGCUGCAUGGUGGGGGUUGGAAAGUUUCGGCGGUUGGGGAUGGACUCGCGGCUUAUCAGCUUGUUGGUGGGGUAGUGGCUUACCAAGGCUUUGACGGGUAGCCGGCCUGAGAGGGUGACCGGCCACAUUGGGACUGAGAUACGGCCCAGACUCCUACGGGAGGCAGCAGUGGGGAAUAUUGCACAAUGGGCGGAAGCCUGAUGCAGCAACGCCGCGUGCGGGAUGACGGCCUUCGGGUUGUAAACCGCUUUCGCCUGUGACGAAGCGUGAGUGACGGUAAUGGGUAAAGAAGCACCGGCUAACUACGUGCCAGCAGCCGCGGUAAUACGUAGGUGACAAGCGUUGUCCGGAUUUAUUGGGCGUAAAGGGAGCGCAGGCGGUCUGUUUAGUCUAAUGUGAAAGCCCACGGCUUAACCGUGGAACGGCAUUGGAAACUGACAGACUUGAAUGUAGAAGAGGAAAAUGGAAUUCCAAGUGUAGCGGUGGAAUGCGUAGAUAUUUGGAGGAACACCAGUGGCGAAGGCGAUUUUCUGGUCUAACAUUGACGCUGAGGCUCGAAAGCGUGGGGAGCGAACAGGAUUAGAUACCCUGGUAGUCCACGCCGUAAACGAUGAGUGCUAAGUGUUGGGGGCUUUCCGGCCCUCGGUGCUGGAGCUAACGUAUUAAGCACUCCGCCUGGGGAUUACGACCGCAAGGUUGAAACUCAAAAGAAUUGACGGGGACCCGCACAAGCGGUGGAGCAUGUGGUUUAAUUCGAAGCAACGCGAAGAACCUUACCAGCUCUUGACAUCUUCUGACAACUCUAGAGAUAGAGCGUUCCCUUCGGGGACAGAAUGACAGGUGGUGCAUGGUUGUCGUCAGCUCGUGUCGUGAGAUGUUGGGUUAAGUCCCGUAACGAGCGCAACCCUUGUUGUUAGUUGCCAGCAUUAAGUUGGGCACUUUAACGAGACUGCCGGUGAUAAACCGGAGGAAGGCGGGGAUGACGUCAAAUCAUCAUGCCCCUUAUGAGCUGGGCUACACACGUGCUACAAUGGAUGGUACAACGAGCAGCGAUCCCGCAAGGGCUAGCUAAUCUUUCAAAGCCAUUCUCAGUUCGGAUUGCACUCUGCAACUCGAGUGCAUGAAGUCGGAAUCGCUAGUAAUCGCGAAUCAGAAUGUCGCGGUGAAUCCGUUCCCGGGUCU
RNAcentral lists this ribosomal RNA (1341 nucleotides) under uncultured bacterium. RNAcentral's name for it is "bacterial SSU rRNA". It matches the Rfam family "Bacterial small subunit ribosomal RNA", at positions 28 to 1381 of the family's 1533-position model. The record is from RNAcentral.